CUAUAAAUUAGCAGCUGUUUUAGGUUUGACUGAUGACGUCAAAUUAUUAUAGGAAAAAGUCAGUCACACCCUUGAGUGGCUUAAGCAGUGAACCAGUUUUGGUUCUAGUUACUAAUUUAUUAGGUUUUGGGUAGUGUUACUGUUAGGUCGUGGUGUGGACUCGUUUUUAUUUCUUAGUCUUACUCAGUAGAAUUGAGCUAUUUCACUAUGAGUAUGAACUGAAAUAGAGGCCAAACCUGGUUUUAACUCCAAGAGCUGUAAGUGCAAGUUGUAGUUGUAAGUACAAAUCUCGAGUCUUUAACUUGGAUUGCUUUUCAACAAUAAAAUUAAAUUAAAUGGAGGACAAUGUGGAGAUAGAAGAACCAGAAUUAGAGGAAGGUGAGAUUACAGAUGAUAUUCCAAAAACCAAAGAUGAUGAAAAUAAUCAAAAACAUUUAAUGGAUUUGGGCCUAUCCAUCUGUGAAUCUGAAUGUGAUACGAGUAAUAAAAAUAUUAAUAAUAGUAUUAGUACGGUUAGUAAUAGUAAUACUACUACAAGUAGCACUACUAGUACUACCGUUAGUGUUAUUGCACCUGAAAUUGGGGUAAUGCCAAAUGGAGAACUUAAAACUAAGCCUAAUCCUAGAGCUAAGCUAGUUACUCCUUCGAUUAAGCCUAAUGCUAGUACUAAUGCUAAUAGCUGUACAACUUGUUUAGAUAGCACUAGUAGUACUACUAGUCCAAUGGUAAUUCUGGAAAAUCACAUUGAGCUGUUUGGAAAAAAAGAUACAGAUCUUCGUAAAGCAGUUAAGUUAAAAAACGAAAAUGGUAAAACAUGUAUAAAGUCUGUGAGCUCAUUUGUAAGCAUAACAGAAGAUGAAAAUGUAAAAAAUGUAAGCAGCAAAACUUCCAGAUACAGUGAUCAUAAUGCUUACUUUUCUAGAAAGGAUGAUAAACCUAAUGUUCAGCAUAGAUCAUAUACAAAUAGUAAGACACAUACUUUGAAUAAUGUCAGAAGUUCUACCAAUAGUCGAUGGUUUGAGGAAAAGAAACAUUCUGGAGGAAAAAGAUGUAAGGACAUAAACAAAAUGGGUAGCAAUAGUUUACACAGUGUAAGUGAAAGACGAAAUCACACUACUUUCAAUUCAAGAAGAAGAUACACUCAUCAACUGAGGAAGGAUGAUAGGGCCAAUGAAUUUUGCUACAGUUUUAAAGACAAAAGAAUAGACCACGAGGAAGAAAGAAAACCCUAUGAUUUAAUUUCUUCACGUAUUUCAAAAAGAGAGUCAUCACACUUAACUAAACGAUUUCCAGUGUAUGGGAAGAACUUGCAAAAUGAUAGAUCAGCAAAGUUUGACACAAGUAGCAAGAAACAACCAUUGGAUGAAUUUGGAGUCAGCCUUAAAAUCAACUUGCCAUGUUUUCCACAUCAUGAGCACACAAACAAAGGUUCAAGUAAAGAAACCAGCUAUGAAGAUCUUUUGGAACAAUAUAAAAAAAUUCAAAACCAGUUAGAGGACUUGCGUCGUCAAGAGGAAAAAUCAUUCUUGGAAAAUACUAGUAACAAAGAAGCAUGUUCUAAAAAAAGUGACCAGAAUUUUUCAAGAAACCUAUCUCAAAAUCGACAGUAUUCUGCACGAGUCAGUAAGAGAAGGAGAAGGUCAUAUUCAGUCUUAAAAUUGGGCAAAAGAAGUGAGGAUAAGUCAAAGUCUUACAGAUCCAAAGAAUUAGUUGAGAAAAAAACUCCUGUCUGUCAAGAAGAUGAGGAACAUAAAACAGAUGUUUUGUUUGAAGCACCUGUGUCCACAGCAGCUGUUAAAGGGGAUGAAGAAGAAGACGAUGACUUAGAAAGUCUUCGACAAAUAGCCCUACAGUCCUAUUCACGCCAGAUAACAAAAAAAGAGAAUUUCAUCUUGGAAGAUAAAGAUGAAAAACAUGAGAAAGUGGAAAAAAUUGAAGACCAAGAUGAAAAAAGUGACAAACACUUUGCAAAUGCUUCUCAAAUUGCUGAGCUUUCUUGUCCACCACUUCCAUCAUCACCUCCUCCAGAACCACCACCACCACCACCUCCUCCUACACAUCCACCUCCAGAACAGGUAGAGGUGCUGUCAGGUGACAAUUAUGAAAUGGUUGAAAUGGAUAUUGAUAGUUUAAGUGAUGAUGAGUAUAAAGCUUGUGGAAAGCCUUCAGAGAUAGGAACAGGUGCCUACUUAACAAGUGGUGGUUCACAGGAAUGUUCAACUGUAGAUACUGAUGAGGAUGACAUUGAUGAAGUAGCUCUUAGGAAACAACUUCUGAAUACCUUAGCUACGAGAAAAGUGGUGAAAGAAACCAAUUCAAUAAAGAGACCACUGGAUAUUGAAGUUGAAGUUUUCUCUUCUACUGAAAACAGUAAUCAUGUUGAAAAGCCUGUAGAGAAACAUGAUGCAUCAGAGUUAAAAACCUCUGUAGAUAAUAUUGAUGAAAAUGAAGAUAGUUCUUAUGGAUUAUCUACAAAUGUAAAGAAGAAAUACAUACCUGAUCUUCAUUAUCCUGUUCACAAACCUCUGGUAAUCAACCUGGCUGAUGACUCAGAAAGUGACAAUUCAGAUGUUGACUCUGGCUGCAAGACAUAUAAAGUGCCUACAACAAAAUCAGAGAUACCUGCUGGUUUGGAUGAGUUUUUGAAAAUGGCAAGAAUGAAGUCUAAUGUAUCUAAUUCAGACCAGGAUAAUAAUUCUGUGACAGUGUCUAAGUUAUCAGAAGCUCAGCAACAAGAGUACAGAAAACUAAAAGCUGAAAUUGCCAAGAGAGUUCUAACUUCAAAACAGGAUGAAAAUAUUACCAUCUCAACCAGAAAUUCCCUUCCAGAAUAUCAUGGACAACAACAGAAGCAGUUAAUUGGAAAAGCACAUAAGAGGCAUGAAUUGAAUUUAAAAUUUCAUAAGUCUGUAUUACAAGCAGAACAGUCAAAACUAAUAUCACUGAAAAAACGAGCAGAAGAAAAAAAAGCUUCACUUUUGUCUGCCGAAAUCCAAGUUAAAAAACUUCAGGAGCGUGUAAUAGCAGCACAAAGAGUAGUAUCUGCAAAUAAACGCCUGGUUGAUCGAUUAACCUUCCAGAUUAGCAUGGUUGAACGUAAAAUACAGAGUGAAGCUACAAAAGUUGAGGAACUGGAAAGGUUUUUUUGCAGUAACAGUGAUAAAGAUAUUCCUGUAACUGUUCAUGUUUCUGCUUCACAACCCGUGAUGAAAAGAAGAGUAGUUUUUACUGGAAACUUCAAUAAUACUGGAAUAAAAAGACCUCGAUUAAGUUCUCUGUCUAAUCAUACUGAAAAGAAGAUAAAUUCCCAAAGUACCAGACAGAUCUAUAGUGCUGAAGAAUUAGCAGAAAAGAAACGGCAACUUCAGCAGAAGGAAAGAGAGUUAGCUUCACAGCUCAUGCAGAUGAAAUUAAAUAUUCAAAAUAGCUCAUCUUCUACACCAAAUAGUCCUGCCCGCCUGGGCUCUAAACAAAGAAUAGUUGAGGAAAAGAAAAACUCAUGCAACAGGAAAGUAAUUUCAAAUGUUUUGUCCCAACAUGUGACAAGUAAAACAAAUAGUAACUCUGCUAGUCAUAGUAAAGUGAAAAUAGAUGAAGAUGAAAAUAUUACUCCAGUACAAAAUGUUAUGGAUCAAGACAACAAGUCUUUAGUGUCCUGUGAUUCUGUUAACACAUCACCAUUAUUUUCUGAAAAUUUGGAGGCUCAAGCAGCAUCUAAACAACAGUUGGAUAAAUUAAUGCAAAGCUUAAGGGCCAAAAGUGUUUCAGCUCAGAGUAGUUUCAUCUGUCCAACAUUUCUACAUUCUUAUCAGCUGAACCGUUUUUUUUAUCCAAAAAUUUGUCAAGAUGAUGAAGUGAGAGUUCCUUCACAAGAUGAGUCAACUGAUGAUAGUGAAAGACUGAAAUUACGAUCCAACUGGGUUCAUUACAGCAGUCCACUUGUACAUAUGAAGUCAUACAGGCUUAACCCUCAUUUCUCCAAACACAUGUUCCAGGAAUGUAGUAGCUCAACAUACUCAAAUCACAUAAAUCCACUGACCCACUUGUGUCGUUUUGAUCUUCUAGGAACUUGUAAUGAUGAUCAGUGUACAAGACAGCAUGAAGCAAAUUACAAAGUUUUACCUCAAGAUGUUCUCUUGGACUUGCUGUGUUAUUGUCCUAGCUUGUGUGGAGUUUCUGAAAAUGACAGCACAGAAGAUGGUCUAAGUAAAUUAAAAAAGUAUGUUGAAGUAUUCUGUGAAUCUUGUUCAGAUCUGUCAUUAGAGGAGAAGUGUGAAAAACUUGUGAAAAGAAUUAAUGUAGAACUACAAAAUGGGCCAACGAGCUAUGUUAUUCUUCAGAAAAGAAAGUUUCCUCCGAAGCAUUUAAAUAAGAAUUGUAGUGAAUCGGAUGGAACAUUGAAGCUUAAUAUAAGAACAACAGAAGAAAAACUACAGCUAACUAAAACCGAUUAUGAUCCAGAUGCUGUAAUUUUGGAAUCUGAUUCUCGCUAUUUUAAAUCAGAUUGUAAAGGUUUGGCAGGACUUGAGGCUGCAGUUCAUGAAAGUCCUCAUAACAUUCAGCUGUGGUUGAAACUAGCAUAUCACCAUUUUCACAAUCAUACAAGAAAAGAUAUCAGUAACCUUGACCAAGCUCUGAAUAUUCUCUCACGUGGUCUAGAAAGUAACCAAGCUGACCCUGAAUUGUGGAAGCAUUAUCUGACUCUGUAUGCUGAACGUGAUGAGAGUAAAGAUAUUUUACAGCUGUGUCAGCAAGCAUUAAAUUUUUGUCCUCAUUAUGAAGUUUGGUGGAAGUAUCUUCAGUUAGCUGAAGGAUACCAUGAGAAACAGGGUAUCUGCAACGAGAUUCUUCAGUUUUUACUUUUGGAGGAACAGCAAGAAAGGACUGAUACAGAUAAAAGUAUUCGUUCUCAUCAAAUUUUGGAAGUGUUAUUAUUUCAGUCACAAUUAAAUGUGCAAAGUGGACACUACAGAAAUGCUGUAGAUUUCCUGGAGAAAACACUGAGACUUGACAAGCAAGACCAAAAGUCUAAUUUUGAAGAUGAUUUAGAAGAACAAGUGCCCUCAUUGAGAAUAAGUGAUGAAAAUAGGUCUGAAAAUGAAUCUAGUUUUUCAAAUAGCUGUGGUGAACUUUUCAAUAACGAUAGCUCAAUUUUUAUAGAAAAAGAACCUGUAACUGAAAAAAUGUAUGGAGUUAAAGAAAACCUUUCAGGGGAAAAUGUGAUGUCUGAGCAUGAUAUUGGCCAAUGUUCUAGAACUUCUGUUACAAAGGUAUAUAGCCCACUUAGAAAAUUGAUGGUAUCAGAAGACCUUUGCUUAGCUUGGAUGUGUUAUAUUCAUCUUAUUGAAUUUCAUAGCCUCCCAUCUUUUCUUUUUCCUGUUGAACAAGAUGCACCGGGCAGAUUGGGUUGUAAGGAUCCAUUCUUGAUUCCAUGGCAUCACCACUCACCCCUUCAAACAUCCUACAAUUCUCUCUUAAAACUAUUUAAGGAUGCUUUACAGUCUUGUUCCUCUCAGUCAUCAAGGAAAAGGAAUAUUCAAAUAUGCUUACCAUUGUACCAAAACCUGAUCUUUCUAGAAUUAAACUGCAAUAGGUUUAGUUCAGCAGUUUGUAUUUGUCAACGGCUGAUACAAGAGUUCCCAACUAUAGUAGAUCUAUGGUUACUACUGGCAGGAUUGUAUGUGCAAAAGUCAAUGGAUGCUGAAACACGGCAGGUUUUCCAGGAGGCCACAUCCAGUGUAUCUUAUCAUCCUCGCUUAUGUCAUGCAGCAGCACUGUAUGAAAUCAGUAGGAAUAACAAGAAAAAUGCCAAAGAGUAUCUGUAUAACUGUGCAAAGGAAUAUUUUAUUAUACCUCAGGAAGAUAGUAGUUUAGGCUCAUUUUGUCUCCAAGCUGAAGCAUUGUACAGUGAACUGUUGGGUCAGCCAGUUUUUGAAUCACAGCUCCUUCCACAAAGGAACACUGAUAGAGAAUUAUUGGAAGAAGACGUUGGUAGUCUGUGGUUAAAUUACAUAUGCCUUUUACAGUGCCAAGAUGUCAGCAGUGACAAGAUUUCAGAACUGUUUGAAACAGCUAUAGGCUGUGUUAACUCUACAUGUACUUCCAGGGAAAUAUGGUGGGAGUAUUUUUUUUCUCCAAGUUGCCUUAAUUGGAAAGACAUCAAACAAACAAACUGCUGUGAGAGCAUUAACUAAGUUAGCACAUCGCUGUCUGAUAUCCGUAACAACAAAAUUUUCAUUUCCUCAUUUGCCCAGUAAGCAGUGGAAUAACUAUAUUUUCCAUAAUGCAGUUGUGGAUUUGUAUUGCAAGUGUUUGGGUGAUAAGAAAGAAGAAUGUACUGCACUUGAUAUGUUUGUCAGGUGGAUGCCAGCAAACACUGAUUUAUUAGAAAGGACUAUACAGACUCACCUUUUUUUGGGUGACUUAGAUGGUGCAGAUGUGUUGCUGUCACAUACCCUUCCCAGCAAAGUGUCAAGCAAAAGUUUGUGGAAAAUAGCCAUAUAUAUAGCUAUACAAGA
RNAcentral lists this unclassified non-coding RNA (6518 nucleotides) under Limulus polyphemus (Atlantic horseshoe crab). Its description in RNAcentral is "zinc finger C3H1 domain-containing protein-like, transcript variant X3". Lineage: Eukaryota; Metazoa; Arthropoda; Merostomata; Xiphosura; Limulidae. The record is from RNAcentral.